Molecule: long non-coding RNA, 3116 nt
Filed under: Citrus maxima (pomelo)
Lineage: Eukaryota; Viridiplantae; Streptophyta; Magnoliopsida; Sapindales; Rutaceae
Description: long non-coding RNA (CMAX_LNC001184)
Source: RNAcentral
AAAAAUCUUACUCUCUAUUUAUUAUGCUUUAACAAGAGAAAGAAAGAAAACAGAAAACAAAUCUCUUCUAUAGCAGACUUAACAAAAAUUUCAGCUGAGACUUAAACCGACUUUUUCAAGGAAAUGAAAUUAGGAGAACAAAAACACUUUGAAGUGGACUGCAUAUAUAUACUCAAAAAUAACAUACAACUUGAGUCAGUAAUGGUAAAGAAAACGAACGUACACAGACGGGUUUGGAUUUAGAUGAUGAAGAAUGCACUGAAAGCUUUGCAUUUGAGUUCUCUUUUUCGGGUGAGUAAGUUAGGGAACUGCAAGGCCGAUCAAUUUGAAAAAAGAAAAAAGAAAAAAACUAAAAUGUAAACGCAGCUUGAACUUGAUUUCUUUUGGUUUUUGGGGAGGGGACGGGGGGAGGGGAGGGAAUGUAUACGCAGCUUCAAACUUGGUUUCUUUUCGUUUUUUUCCCCGGGGGUGUGGAGGCCUGGAGGGAAUGUAAACGAACUAACGAAGCCUCAAUCCUCAUGCAGCUGUAUUUAUAUGAAGUGGGUACUGCUGACUGAUCCACGAAGGAAGACUUUUGAUGUCAUUGGUGUUUCUUUAUUUUUGACCUUUUAGCUAGAUGACAGAAGAAUGCCGAGUGCUACGGACACUCGCGAGUGUCUCAAUCGCGGCUCUCUAUAUAGACACGUGUCUAUCAAAAUGAAACCUUAUCAGAGAGACAGCCGCAAGUAUGACGAGACAAGCGCGAUCGUAAGGAUGGAAGCCGCAAGUAUGAAGAGACAGGCCCAAUCCACAACGAUCCAAGAGCAAUCAUUACCUGCAAACUCAACACAACACCUAAUUAACUUCAAACCCCACCAUAAAUCCACCAACAGUCACUAUUCGAAACAAAUCUACCUCAAAUGCGACGUCAAAUAAAAGGAAUAAAAAGGUUUCCUUAAAAGAGAGAGAGCUGCGAGUAUGAAGAGACAAGCACGGUCCACAACGAUCGAAGGCUGUGUGGUAUGUGUCUUGUAUAGAUUGAACAGAGCAAUCAUUACCUGCAAAACUGAACCAAACACUCAAUUAACAAACAAAUUUCAAUUUGAAACCCGACCUUAAAUCCACCAUUGGGCACUAUUCGACACAAAUCUACUUGAAAUCCGACAACAAAUAAAAGGAAAAAAAAUUCUAAAUCAACAUCGAAAUGAAACCUUUAUAAGAGAGAAAGCCGCAAGUACGAAGAGAUCUGAAGUCCUGUUGGUAUAUGUCUUGUAUAGAUUGACAGAGCAAUCAAAGGCCGUGUCGACCAGAGCAAUCGCAGAAUAGAAGAGAUAAGAGAGGAAAAAAGAAGGAAGAGGAGAGCUGCAGCAGCAAAUGAUCAGAGCAAUCAUUACCUGCAAAACUCAACACAACACCAAAUUAACAACCAACAUUUCAAUUUCAAACUUAACCUUAAAUUGAAACAAAUCUACUUGAAAAUAAAAGAAUAAGCAACUCCGAAUCAAAAUCGAAAUGAAACCUUUUAUAACAGAGACAGCCGCGAGUAUGAAGAGACAGGCACAAUCUGCAGCGAUCGAAGAGAAAUCACCACUACCUGCAAAACUCAACACAACGCCUGAUUAACAACAAACAUGCCAAUUUCAAACCCACCUUAAAUCCACCAACAGACACUAUAACUUGAAAUGCAAUAUCAAAUAAAAGGAACAAGUAGUCUAAAUCAAAAUCAAAACGAAACCUUAUAAAAGAGACAGCCGCAAGUCUGAAGAGACCAGCACGAUCCUAAAGGAUCAAAGCCGCAAGUAUGAACAGACCUGAUUAACAACAAACACCUGAUUACCUGCAAAACUCAACACAACACCUGAUUAUCAACAAACAUUUCAAUUUCAAACCCAAAACAAAUCUACUUGAAAAAAAAAAAAAAACAACUCCAAAUCAAAAUCGAAAUGAAACCUUAUUAGAAAGACAGCCGCAAGUAUGACGAGACAAGCACGAUCGUAAAGGAUGGGAGCCGCAAGUAUGAAGAGACAGGCCCAAUCCACAACGAUCCAAGAGCAAUCAUUACCUGCAAACUCAACACAACACCUAAUUAACUUCAAACCCCACCAUAAAUCCACCAACAGUCACUAUUUGAAACAAAUCUACCUCAAAUGCGACAUCAAAUAAAAGGAAUAAAAAGGUUUCCUUAAAAAAGAGUCCACAACGAUCGAAGGCUGUGUUGUAUGUGUCUUGUAUAGAUUGAACAGAGCAAUCAUUACCUGCAAAACUGAACCAAACACUCAAUUAACAAACAAAUUUCAAUUUGAAACCCGACCUUAAAUCCACCAUCGGGAACUAUUCGACACAAAUCUACUUGAAAUCCGACAACAAAUAAAAGGAAAAACAAGUCUAAAUCAACAUCGAAAUGAAACCUUUGUAAGAGAGAAAGCCGCAAGUAUGAAGAGAUCUGAAGUCCUGUUGGUAUAUGUCUUGUAUAGAUUGACAGAGCAAUCAAAGGCCGUGUCGACCAGAGCAAUCGAAGAGUAGAAGAGAUAAGAGAGGAAAAAAGAAGAAGAGGAGAGCUUCAGCAGCAAAUGAUCAGAGCAAUCAUUACCUGCAAAACUCAACACAACACCAAAUUAACAACCAACAUUUCAAUUUCAAACCCAACCUUAAAUUGAAACAAAUCUACUUGAAAAAUAAAGGAAAAAGCAACUCCAAAUCAAAAUCGAAAUGAAACCUUUUAAAACAGAGACAGCCGCGAGUAUGAAGAGACAGGCACAAUCCGCAGCGAUCGAAGAGAAAUCAUCACUACCUGCAAAACUCAACACAACGCCUGAUUAACAACAAACAUGCCAAUUUCAAACCCAACCUUAAAUCCACCAACAGACAGACACUAUAACUUGAAAUGCAAUAUCAAAUAAAAGGAAAAACAAGUCUAAGUCAACAUCGAAAUGAAACCUUUAUAAGAUAGAAAGCCGCAAGUACGAAGAGAGAAGCGCGAUCCUAAAAGAUCUGAAGUCGUGUUGUAUAUAUGUCUUGUAUAGAUUGACAGAGCAAUCAAAGCCCGUGUCGACCAGAGCGAUCGAAGAGGAGAAGAGAGAAGAGAGAAAAAGAGAAGAGGAGGAGAACUGCAGCAGCAAAUGAGCAAAGGGAGCUCA